RNAcentral lists this ribosomal RNA (329 nucleotides) under uncultured Actinomycetes bacterium. Its description in RNAcentral is "bacterial SSU rRNA". It matches the Rfam family "Bacterial small subunit ribosomal RNA", at positions 28 to 351 of the family's 1533-position model. The record is from RNAcentral. Lineage: Bacteria; Bacillati; Actinomycetota; Actinomycetes.
GACGAACGCUGGCGGCGUGCUUAACACAUGCAAGUCGAACGAGAAAGCCCUUCGGGGUGAGUACAGUGGCGAACGGGUGAGUAACACGUGGGCAACCUGCCCCAGAGAGCGGGACAACCCGAGGAAACUCGGGCUAAUACCGCAUGAUGCGUCUCCACUUAAGUGGAGCCGCCAAAUGGUAGCUUCGGCCUCCGCUCUGGGAUGGGCCCGCGUCGGAUUAGCUUGUUGGUUGGGGUAAUGGCCCACCAAGGCGACGAUCCGUAGCUGGUCUGAGAGGACGAUCAGCCACACUGGGACUGAGACACGGCCCAGACACCUACGGGUGGCUG